This 925-nucleotide ribosomal RNA is filed under the name uncultured bacterium. Its description in RNAcentral is "bacterial SSU rRNA". It matches the Rfam family "Bacterial small subunit ribosomal RNA", at positions 8 to 916 of the family's 1533-position model. The record is from RNAcentral.
AGAGUUUGAUCAUGGCUCAGGACGAACGCUGGCGGCGUGCUAAUACAUGCAAGUAGAACGCUGAAGAAAGGAGCUUGCUUCUUUUGGAUGAGUUGCGAACGGGUGAGUAACGCGUAGGUAACCUGCCUUGUAGCGGGGGAUAACUAUUGGAAACGAUAGCUAAUACCGCAUAACAGCUUUUGACACAUGUUAGAAGCUUGAAAGAUGCAAUUGCAUCACUACGAGAUGGACCUGCGUUGUAUUAGCUAGUAGGUAGGGUAACGGCCUACCUAGGCGACGAUACAUAGCCGACCUGAGAGGGUGAUCGGCCACACUGGGACUGAGACACGGCCCAGACUCCUACGGGAGGCAGCAGUAGGGAAUCUUCGGCAAUGGGGGCAACCCUGACCGAGCAACGCCGCGUGAGUGAAGAAGGUUUUCGGAUCGUAAAGCUCUGUUGUAAGAGAAGAACGUGUGUGAGAGUGGAAAGUUCACACAGUGACGGUAACUUACCAGAAAGGGACGGCUAACUACGUGCCAGCAGCCGCGGUAAUACGUAGGUCCCGAGCGUUGUCCGGAUUUAUUGGGCGUAAAGCGAGCGCAGGCGGUUUAAUAAGUCUGAAGUUAAAGGCAGUGGCUUAACCAUUGUUCGCUUUGGAAACUGUUAAACUUGAGUGCAGAAGGGGAGAGUGGAAUUCCAUGUGUAGCGGUGAAAUGCGUAGAUAUAUGGAGGAACACCGGUAGCGAAAGCGGCUCUCUGGUCUGUAACUGACGCUGAGGCUCGAAAGCGUGGGGAGCAAACAGGAUUAGAUACCCUGGUAGUCCACGCCGUAAACGAUGAGUGCUAGGUGUUAGGCCCUUUCCGGGGCUUAGUGCCGCAGCUAACGCAUUAAGCACUCCGCCUGGGGAGUACGACCGCAAGGUUGAAACUCAAAGGAAUUGACGG